UCUUCGCAUGAUCAAAAGAUUGAAAACGAGUACGGGAAUGUUAUUGGGUCUUACGGAAAUGAUGGAAAAGAAUACGUUCAGUGGUGUGCUAGUUUGGCUGAAUCCUACCAAAUUGGUGUUCCCUGGGUUAUGUGUCAAGAAUCGGAUGCUCCAUCCCCAAUGAUUAAUACUUGCAAUGGCUGGUAUUGUGAUCAAUUCACCCCUAACAAUCCCAAUAGUCCUAAAAUGUGGACUGAGAAUUGGACUGGCUGGUUCAAGGGUUGGGGUUUACAAGAUCCACACAGAACUGCUGAAGACCUUUUUUAGCAGAUGGGGUUUACAAGAUAUCUAACAAAUUGGAUGUCUUGUACGUUGUAACAGCAAUAUCAUUUGGAGUUGGGCAAAUCAUAUUUGCUUGUAUAUAUGAAGCCAAGAGUUUAGCAUGCCAAGUUAGCAAGCAUUUGUAAAUCAUGUGUACAAAUUAAAAAUUUAACCCUUGUUACCCAACAGAUGUAAGAUAUUGACUACAUAUGAUGAUUAUACCACAGAAUUUUCCAUUAAUUGAUGUUUUUGAUUAGUGGGGCAUAAAGGGAUCGAUAUCGUGGCUAGUUGCUUAAUUAGAAGUUGUCAUUAGCCUUUCUUCCUAUUUAUAA
Molecule: long non-coding RNA, 632 nt
Organism: Alnus glutinosa
Lineage: Eukaryota; Viridiplantae; Streptophyta; Magnoliopsida; Fagales; Betulaceae
Exons: 3
Source: RefSeq, a predicted model, not a curated record